CCUACGGGAGGCAGCAGUGGGGAAUUUUGGACAAUGGGCGCAAGCCUGAUCCAGCAAUGCCGCGUGAGUGAAGAAGGCCUUCGGGUUGUAAAGCUCUUUUGUCAGGGAAGAAACGGUGAGCUCUAAUACAGUUUGCUAAUGACGGUACCUGAAGAAUAAGCACCGGCUAACUACGUGCCAGCAGCCGCGGUAAUACGUAGGGUGCAAGCGUUAAUCGGAAUUACUGGGCGUAAAGCGUGCGCAGGCGGUUUUGUAAGUCUGUCGUGAAAUCCCCGGGCUCAACCUGGGAAUGGCGAUGGAGACUGCAAGGCUAGAGUUUGGCAGAGGGGGGUAGAAUUCCACGUGUAGCAGUGAAAUGCGUAGAUAUGUGGAGGAACACCGAUGGCGAAGGCAGCCCCCUGGGUCAAAACUGACGCUCAUGCACGAAAGCGUGGGGAGCAAACAGGAUUAGAUACCCUGGUAGUCCACGCCCUAAACGAUGUCUACUAGUUGUCGGGUCUUAAUUGACUUGGUAACGCAGCUAACGCGUGAAGUAGACCGCCUGGGGAUACGGUCGCAAGAUUAAAACUCAAAGUGAAUUGACG
RNAcentral lists this ribosomal RNA (584 nucleotides) under uncultured bacterium. Its description in RNAcentral is "bacterial SSU rRNA". It matches the Rfam family "Bacterial small subunit ribosomal RNA", at positions 338 to 915 of the family's 1533-position model. The record is from RNAcentral.